CACGUGCAUCUUUUCUAUGUCUCAUUAGCCGGGCAAGAUGGCCUCCAACAACAUCGGUAACGAUAGCGGUUCAAAUUCAGGGCGAGUAGAUGUCGAUAAUCCACCUUUUUCAAGAGUGUUUGUGGUAUGUAGUAAGAGGCACACAUCCGAAGACAUGAGAACAGCUUUUGAGCACUAUGGAACCAUCGAAGACAUUUGGAUGGUCAAAGACAAGACGACCAAAGAAAAUCGUGGUGUUUGUUAUAUCAAGUUCGAGAAAGCUUCCUCAGCAGCCCUAGCCUCUGAGCAGCUGGAUGGAAAACAAAUUGGAGACGAUCCCAAACCCAUUAAGGCAAUGAUUGCCCAGUCAAAACAUUCAGGUUCUAAAAUGGACUUCCACGAUCCCACAACAAUGACACGUCUGUUUGUAAUCUGCCCCAAGGACUACACAGAUGACGACUUACGUUCCAAAUUUGAGAAUUUUGGAGAUUUAGAAUACGUCCAAAUAGUCCGUGACCACAAGACAAGAGAAAACAAAGGCUAUGGUUAUGUUAAGUUCAACAAGGCUUCCACCGCAUCGUUAGCUCUUGAGAACUGCGACAAGGGACUUAAAGCAGUGUGGGCUGAACCAAAGUCGUCUAAAGUCUCCAGAUAUGCAGCUGUUGCAGCUUCUUCUGUCGCUACAGCGUUUACUCCUCCGAACCCAUUCCUUGAGCAAGGGAUCUUCUCUGCCACCAUUCCACAAGCACAGCCAGCUCUUCAUCAACCUAUGGAGUUCUUUGCCAACCAGACAGGAGCUAAUGCAGCAGCAUCUGUAGCAGAAUCCAUAACAUCUUCACAUACACCAACCAGGCUGUUUGUCAUUGUAUCGGUGUCCCUAACUCAAGAGCAAGUAGCUCGUUUAUUUGAUAUUAUCCCUGGGAUGCAAGUAUGUGACCUGAAGCGCAAUUACAAUACUGGAGAGUCCAAAGGUUUUGCAUAUGUUACCUAUAACUCCGUGGGCUCUGCUAUCUAUGCCAAGGAAAAGUUAAAUGGCUUUGAAUAUCCACCAGGGUCCAAACUUGUCAUUAAAUACGCCGAGGACCCCCCAUCAGGCCGUACUAACUCAGAAUCUGGCUCGUCAUAUAAUAUGUUUGGCUCCAAGUCCUCGAUUCUUGGUCCCACUUCCGCAUCCCCUUCACUUAGUCUUGAUAAUAGUCAACUGUACACCACUGCAGCUCUCCCUGCACCCGUUCCUCUAGCAGACGAGAAUGCGGAAGUAGCGUCGCGGUUGUUUAUAGUCUGCAACCCCGCACCACCACCUGAACAGGUAUUAAAAGACGUCUUCAGUCGAUUUGGUAACCUCAUUGACGUGUAUAUGAUGAAAGACCGGAACUUUGGUUACGCAAAGUUCGCGUCCAAAGAUUCUGCUGAUGUAGCCAUUGAAGGACUUCAUGGCCAUCAAGUCUUAGGAAUGAAGCUCAAGGUCAUGCAUGCCGAUCCACCGAAAAAUGAGUCUUCUAGAAAGCGACCUCGAACAUAAGGCAUACCCAAGCAAGCAACCAAUGGCCUGUUUGUGUGUUAACUUUCAUCAACAAGAAAAGUCUGUGUCUUGCAGGUCGAUAUCCAUGGACUGCUCAACAGAUGGAAUCCAAAGAAGGCCGGUACUGAGAUCAUUCAGUCAUCAACCAAGAAAAAAGCGAAAGUUAUUAAAUUCAGUUCCUGAAUAACAUGCAGAAGCAGUAUUUUUAUACUUCAAUACAAGUAUUUACAAAUAUUUGUCUUAACUGAGUAUUUAAAAAGAAAGACAUUCAUGUAUAUAUUAUGGAAAGGAAAAAAUAGUUUAUUUAUCAAAAUCUGUCGGUUCAGAAUUCUUAAGAAAGAAUAAAGUAUUUAUAAAGAAUCACAUUCAUGUAUAUAUUAUGGAAAGGGAAAAAUAAUUAGUUUACCUUAUUCUUACUAAUUUUCGCGAUUUUAGAAAAAGUGCGAAAUUUAAUACGCGCAAAAAAAAAAAGAUUGCGCGAAAUUAGUAUAGGAAAUCGCACGAUCUCGAGUACAA
RNAcentral lists this unclassified non-coding RNA (2017 nucleotides) under Actinia tenebrosa (Australian red waratah sea anemone). RNAcentral's name for it is "rNA-binding protein 45-like, transcript variant X1". Lineage: Eukaryota; Metazoa; Cnidaria; Anthozoa; Actiniaria; Actiniidae. The record is from RNAcentral.